GCCACCGUAGCUCAGUGGCAGAGCAGCGGUUUCGUAAACCGCUUCCCUAUCCUGCCGCCCCAAUCUGUGGCACCA
Molecule: transfer RNA, 75 nt
Filed under: Dehalococcoidia bacterium
Lineage: Bacteria; Bacillati; Chloroflexota; Dehalococcoidia
Description: tRNA-Thr
Rfam family: tRNA
About the family: Transfer RNA (tRNA) molecules are approximately 80 nucleotides in length. Their secondary structure includes four short double-helical elements and three loops (D, anti-codon, and T loops).
Source: RNAcentral